Haplochromis burtoni (Burton's mouthbrooder) is the source of this 284-nucleotide long non-coding RNA. RefSeq lists it as uncharacterized. The record is from RefSeq and is a predicted model, not a curated record. Lineage: Eukaryota; Metazoa; Chordata; Actinopteri; Cichliformes; Cichlidae. The transcript has 3 exons.
CCGAACAGCUUGAGGAGCAGAUAGCAGCGCUGUCUUGCUAAGAACAUGCAACAACAAAGCAGAGAAGGGUUUGAACACACAGAGGGCCUCGCUCUGUCUCAUCAUUCUGCUUUCCACCCCCCCCUGCACACAGGUGGAGGAGGAGGAGGAUGUGGUGGGAUGACAAAGGCUGCAGCUGCCUUUUCUUCUCCGAAAGCUGGGUGAAAAUGACAUAAUGGCCAUCGAGCUCAGAAUGAGCUUCACCGAGCUCAGAUUUCCUGCUGCAAGCGGCACGCACCGGGCUG